Molecule: ribosomal RNA, 1314 nt
Filed under: metagenome
Description: bacterial SSU rRNA
Rfam family: Bacterial small subunit ribosomal RNA
Source: RNAcentral
AGAGUUUGAUCCUGGCUCAGAUUGAACGCUGGCGGCAUGCCUUACACAUGCAAGUCGAACGGCAGCGCGGACUUCGGUCUGGCGGCGAGUGGCGAACGGGUGAGUAAUGCAUCGGAACGUACCUUUCAGUGGGGGAUAACGUAGCGAAAGUUACGCUAAUACCGCAUAUUCUGUGAGCAGGAAAGCAGGGGAUCGCAAGACCUUGCGCUGAUGGAGCGGCCGAUGUCAGAUUAGCUAGUUGGUGGGGUAAAGGCUCACCAAGGCGACGAUCUGUAGCGGGUCUUAGAGGAUGAUCCGCCACACUGGAACUGAGACACGGUCCAGACUCCUACGGGAGGCAGCAGUGGGGAAUUUUGGACAAUGGGCGCAAGCCUGAUCCAGCCAUGCCGCGUGAGUGAAGAAGGCCUUCGGGUUGUAAAGCUCUUUCGGCCGGGAAAAAAUCGCUUGGGUUAAUACCCUGAGUGGAUGAUGGUACCGGAAUAAGAAGCACCGGCUAACUACGUGCCAGCAGCCGCGGUAAUACGUAGGGUGCGAGCGUUAAUCGGAAUUACUGGGCGUAAAGCGUGCGCAGGCGGUUUUGUAAGACAGGCGUGAAAUCCCCGGGCUCAACCUGGGAACUGCGUUUGUGACUGCAAGGCUAGAGUAUGGCAGAGGGGGGUGGAAUUCCACGUGUAGCAGUGAAAUGCGUAGAGAUGUGGAGGAACACCAAUGGCGAAGGCAGCCCCCUGGGCCAAUACUGACGCUCAUGCACGAAAGCGUGGUGAGCAAACAGGAUUAGAUACCCUGGUAGUCCACGCCCUAAACGAUGUCAACUAGGUGUUGGGUGGGUAAAACCAUUUGGUACCGUAGCUAACGCGUGAAGUUGACCGCCUGGGGAGUACGGCCGCAAGGUUAAAACUCAAAGGAAUUGACGGGGACCCGCACAAGCGGUGGAUGAUGUGGAUUAAUUCGAUGCAACGCGAAAAACCUUACCUACCCUUGACAUGCCAGGAACUUGCCAGAGAUGGCUUGGUGCCCGAAAGGGAGCCUGGACACAGGUGCUGCAUGGCUGUCGUCAGCUCGUGUCGUGAGAUGUUGGGUUAAGUCCCGCAACGAGCGCAACCCUUGUCGUUAAUUGCCAUCAUUUAGUUGGGCACUUUAACGAGACUGCCGGUGACAAACCGGAGGAAGGUGGGGAUGACGUCAAGUCCUCAUGGCCCUUAUGGGUAGGGCUUCACACGUCAUACAAUGGUCGGUACAAAGGGUUGCCAAGCCGCGAGGCGGAGCCAAUCCCAGAAAGCCGAUCGUAGUCCGGAUCGCAGGCUGCAACUCGCC